Molecule: long non-coding RNA, 1397 nt
Organism: Cyprinus carpio carpio
Lineage: Eukaryota; Metazoa; Chordata; Actinopteri; Cypriniformes; Cyprinidae
Source: Ensembl
GUGACAGAAGGACUCCGUCAUGCUCAGAUCCAGCGGUGUGGGAUUUCGUAUCCGUUCCCCAGUCACCAUGGAGGAGCGGAGGGGUAGACUCCGGAACUUAACCACCCUUCGUCAAAGUGGGCGUGAGGUGGGUGAUCUGGCUCAAGCGUUUUGGACUAUGGCGGUAGGGCUGGGGUAUAACGAUGAGGCACUAAAGGAUUUUUUUAAUGACUGCCUGGAUGACCCUUUGCCUCGGUGGGAGAUGAAGGGGCUGGAGAUCCUAAACUUUUGGGGGUUCACCAAUUACCUGCGCCAUCGUGCUCAGUGGGAUGCAGUAACCACACCUGAGUCUCCAGACAAGACUGCCGCCAGCCCAGCGCCACAGCACAAGAGGGCCGCCAGUCCAGCGCCACAGCACAAGAUGGCCGCCAGCCCAACACCACAGCACAAGAUGGCCGCCAGCCCAGAACCAUUGCACAAGAUGGCCGAAUCUACACCUGUGUUGCCAGACAAGAUGGCUGACUCAACGCCUGAGUCUCCCGUCAAGGUGCCACCGACUCGCCAUCAUAGAGGGCGGAGGAGGAGGAGACAGGCGUCUACCGUUCCUCAAAGCAUGGAGGACGUUCCCGAGCAGGCCGCUGCCAUCCAGGAGGACGUUCCCGAGCAGGCCGCUGCCGUCCAGGAGGACGUUCCUGAGCAGUCUGCUGCCGUCCCUGAGGCGGUGCCCGAGGCGGUGCCCGAUACUGUUCCCGAUGCCGAGGCGGUGCCCGAUGUUGUUCCCGAUGCCGAGGCGGUGCCCGAUGCUGUGCCCGAUGCCGAGGCGGUGCCCGAGGCCGUUCCAGAGGUCGAGGCGGUGCCCGAUGCCGUUCCGGAGGUCGAGGCGGUGCCCGAUGCCGAGGCGGUGCCCGAGGCUGUUCCGGAGGUCGAGGCGGUGCCCGAGAUGGUUCCGGAGGCCGAGGCGGUUCCGGAGGCCGUGCCGGAGAUGGUUCCGGAGGCCGAGGCGGUUCCGGAGGCCGAGGCGGUGCCCGAUGCUGUUCCGGAGGCCGAGGCAGUGCCCGAUGCGCAGGCCGAGGCGAUGCCCAUGUCCAGGGCCGUUCCCGAGGCGAUGUCCUUGUCCCAUGCCGUUCCUGAGGCCGCUCCCAAGGCGGUGCCCGAGCCCGAGGUCGUGCCCGAGGUCGUUCCCGAGGCGGUGCCCGAACCCGAGGUCGUUCCCGAGGCGAUACCCGUGUCCAAUGCCGUGACCUGGCCAUCACCACAGUCUGCUCCUCACUGGCUCCCCGAAUGGCAGGUUCCGUUCUGGCCACUCAAAUGGCGAGUUCCUCCCUGGCCGUCUGCACAACUAGAAUGGACUGAUCCUCCGUGGCCACCUGAACUGCCUGGUCCCUCGUGGUUCCCUGAACUUUCGGGUCCACCCUGGC